UGUGAAUAUCCUGUCUUCUGCAAAUGUAAUUGCUGUCUGACAUUCUGUAAUGUGCACAAAGUUGGCGUUAUGGACUGCAUUAUGUGUCAUUACAAUGGCAUCCACUUAAACAAUUACUGUCAAACCAUGUAAACCCAACUGCAGUAGGACUCCCUUAAAUGGAUCUGGCGAUGCAACAGGUGCUCUAAUUACUUUAGUGUGAAAGAACCCUUUUAAGUGAGGUUGUAUUUAACACUACUGCCACGUUGCACUUCCAGGAUGG
Molecule: long non-coding RNA, 262 nt
Organism: Struthio camelus australis
Lineage: Eukaryota; Metazoa; Chordata; Aves; Struthioniformes; Struthionidae
Source: RefSeq, a predicted model, not a curated record